GCUGCCCCCGUCUGCCCAAGGCACAGAGCUCACAAGCAGAGUUUAAAGCUCGAGCUGCCAGGCAGCAAAACCAGCCGGGCGCCGUGGCUGGUGCCUGUUAUCCCAGCUNUCGGCAUCAAUAUGGUGAUCCCGGGGGAGCUUGGGGUCCCCAGGUGGCCUAAGGAGGGGUGAACCGGCCCAGGUCGGGAACGGAGCAGGUCAAAACUCCCGUGCCGAUCAGUAGUGGGAUCGCGCCUGUGAAUAGCCCCUGCAGCGUAGCCUGGGCAAGACAGUGAGACACGGUCUCUU
This 288-nucleotide signal recognition particle RNA is filed under the name Gopherus agassizii (Agassiz's desert tortoise). Its description in RNAcentral is "Metazoan signal recognition particle RNA (ENSGAGG00000004389.1)". The stretch from base 101 to 231 matches the Rfam family "Metazoan signal recognition particle RNA", at positions 109 to 242 of the family's 299-position model. Lineage: Eukaryota; Metazoa; Chordata; Testudines; Testudinidae. The record is from RNAcentral.